Long non-coding RNA from Bombus pascuorum, 801 nucleotides. RefSeq lists it as uncharacterized. The transcript is spliced from 3 exons. NCBI's taxonomy places the organism in Eukaryota, Metazoa, Arthropoda, Insecta, Hymenoptera, Apidae. The record is from RefSeq and is a predicted model, not a curated record.
CCUGCAAUGUAAUUAUGUAUAUUAACAUGUACAAUAGAUGGAUUCCGUUAUACUAAAUACUCGCACUGUUUUAUCGACUUGACUUACACUAUCAUAAAAAUUACUCAGAAUUUCUAAGCAAAAUAUUCUAUUGUUAUAAACAUUAAUGACGUCAUGUUGCUAAAUACUCUAUGUGUUUUAUAAAUCGAUAGAAUCAUAAUGAAUGGAAUAACAGAACGUAUAAAAUGGAGACUAAAAUAAAUUGUACAGCUGUUAAUUCAAAGUCCUCAUCAUGAUUAAGAUCACAUCAAAGUGCAAUCCCGCACUUGGAUCAGAUUUAGCAAUUACAUUCAUGAAAGUGUAAUCAACUGUAUACAUAAUUGAUACGCGUGAUUGGUGCCGGAUGAAGGAAAAAUACAUACCGUAUAAAAAUGCUAAUGUCCUAAGAUGUUUCUUUUUUAAUGCAACAGUAUAUUCUAAAGUAACUGACACUAGUUGGAGAGAAAAAGUUCAAAGAUUCGCAAAUAAUUCAACGCAUUCCAAACACUUGAAGGCGGGAAUUCAGGUUCAUGAACGUGCGACUCUUAUCGAGGCCUGAAAGUGCGAUGUCGCCCUAUUUUACACGCCAUUGUUCAACGUCUUUCAUACAAAAUGAACUUUAAAAGAGGCAAAAUCACCGGAAGGAUCCUGUCUUCGAGCCUUUGUACGCAUACAAUAUACGGUAGAAUUAAAAGCAUAUUUCAUAUCUUCGCCACAAGUCAUCUAUUCGUGCGACUCUAUAUGGACUUUAAAAUCUUAGACAGUAUCUAUAUAUCUUCUUUU